RNAcentral lists this ribosomal RNA (253 nucleotides) under uncultured bacterium. RNAcentral describes it as "partial 16S ribosomal RNA". It matches the Rfam family "Bacterial small subunit ribosomal RNA", at positions 524 to 776 of the family's 1533-position model. The record is from RNAcentral.
UACGUAGGUGGCAAGCGUUGUCCGGAAUUACUGGGUGUAAAGGGCGUGUAGGCGGGUAUGCAAGUCAGAUGUGAAAGUCCUGUGCUCAACCGUGGAGCGGCAUCUGAAACUGUAUAUCUUGAGUGCUGGAGAGGAAAGCGGAAUUCCUAGUGUAGCGGUGAAAUGCGUAGAUAUUAGGAGGAACACCAGUGGCGAAGGCGGCUUUCUGGACAGUAACUGACGCUGAGGCGCGAAAGCGUGGGGAGAAAACAGG